This is a long non-coding RNA of Lingula anatina, 2177 nucleotides long. The record is from RefSeq and is a predicted model, not a curated record. NCBI's taxonomy places the organism in Eukaryota, Metazoa, Brachiopoda, Lingulata, Lingulida, Lingulidae.
UUCAACUCGCUCUUACAAUGCACGGCGUGUCUCAACUACUGCAUCGGGAACAGCCCUACAUUGACACGUGAUAGAGAACAGCUGUUACUUCCUUAUGGGUAUUGUUUUCGCGAUCUACGAGAGGUCAGAAGUGGAAAUUUUUAAGGGCAAACUUUUAAACUGAUAAAUUUUUUAAAGGCGGCAAAGGGCGGCAAGACAAAAUAUAUACCAUGUAGAAGAACAAGGACUAAGGUUUCUAACCAACAUUUCAGAUUUUGGGGCAAAUUUGGGCAAAUAUUUUUUUUGUAAUUUUUUUCAACGCCCCCCCCCCUCGCACACGCUUGUUUCUGCGGCCCGCCGAGGUCAAUUUUUAUGCGUACGCUUAACAGAAAUGUCACAUCGUUUGCUUUGCAAACAUCAGUUUAGAAUUGAUAAUAACAGAGAAAAUCAUGAUUGUGAUGAGUUUGAUGGGAAUCAUGUUGAAAUGCACUAAAAUGUUAUAACCUGAGUGGACUUUGACAUAAUUAUCUAACUCUGAAUAGGUGUUUCCAUCCGUUUUGCGUAGAAUGUGAUAAUGCGCCAUCAAUAAAUUGAAUAAUCCUGACUCUUCUCCUUGGAUGUCUGUGGACUUUGAUUUGUUUGUGAAACUUCCAACUGAGAUCUUUUCACUCAUUGAUAUAAAUACUGAUGAAAAUGUUGCCAUGCAGGCAGUUUCACUUCGUCUAUCUUACUGACUCAGUAGACGGUCCUCAUGAAGCGUGAUUUCAUAUUGAUUAUUUCAUUGUAAAAGUUAAUUUUGUUAAAUUGUGUGGGAAAGUAGUGAAAGUUUGCUGUGGACAAAUGUGCUUUUUUACCUUGAAUCUCAAAACAAGAAAGUACAAUGGGUUUAGAUGCAGAUGGUGAAUGACCUUUUCCUACUUGGAAGCAGAACUGAUCUAAACUACUACUUGAACAGAAGCAGUUUCAAUUGAUAGGGAGGACUCAAAUGAUUUCCUUUUCCAAUUUUGAGGCUUUGCCAAAUGGACAAUUGUGGUAAAGGAAGAUGAAAUUCUAAUGUGGAAAUUAUUAUGAAUAUUUGUGCCAAGGUAGAAAAAAGUAACAAAGGAAGGGUCAAGUCUUCUCUUUGAUUCUGUGCCCCCUUAUUCCAAGAACAGUGUAUGAGACUUUUUAAGGAAAAGCUUGUUGAUGGUGACAGUGGUUUCACAACUUAACAUUUGGGAAUUCAUCGUAUGCAUUAUGAUCGUCAAACAACCACAAGGUCAACAUGGCUAAUGUUUAUUUACAACAUAGAGUGGGAUAAUCUGAGUAUCUUUGCCUGAUCAAGAGCAGAAGAACCAGCCUCAGUAGUAUGAAGGGGAACAUGAUAAUCAAACUGGUGGAUUGAUUUCAAUGCUAGAGUCAUACUUGGAACUAGGGAAAACAAGAGGACAGUCUCACAGGACUAGAAAACAUUGUUACAUGUGUACAGCACAUAGCAUGAUCAAGGUCCAGGUACCUCUCAGUAAUUUGCAUCUCAUGUGAGGUCUUAAAGUCAAGAGAGGAAACAAGAUCAAAAUUGGGCUUUGACCAGAUAACUUUAUCUGGACCUCACUGCAUCACUUACUGCAACAUAGAAGAGUGACAACAACUGUUUAAAAACACUUUUUUGAUUCUUGAAGAUCAACAUGAAAAAUCCAGAUCUGUCUUUUUUAUUAUUUUAUUUAUUUAUUUUGUGUGGUGAUGUACGUAUGCUGUUUACACAUCUUUGUCAAUGACCUUGAAGGUGUGAAUAUUGUUAAGUCCCUUUGGGGAAGUUCUCUAUAUGUACAUGUAGGUAUUUGUGUGAAAAACUUUGAUGAAAGUAUAUAUAUAUCUAGAACUUAAGUCUAGGAGAAGAACGUACAUUGAAAUAAUAUAAAAAACUUUUUGAGGAGGAUCUCCAUGCCAAAGACUUAAAAUAGCUCGGGUUUAAAUCUUACUGUUAUUUGUAUUUAUAUAUUUACUUUUUAUAUAUGCAGACUUCUGUACAUCAUAGUAUAAUUAAACCAAAAGAUUUUUAAAACUACAAUCAUCUAUAUUUCUUUAUUUAUUUUGUGUGUGUAAAGUACGUAUGCUGUUUACACAUCUUUGUCAAUGACCUUGAAAGUGUAAAUAUUAUUGAGUCCCUUCUGAGAAUUUCUCUCUAUGUACAUAAAGGUAUUUGUGUGAAAAACUUUGAU